GAUAGUGCAGCCCUAAGUGGGUGGUAAACUCCAUCUAAGGCUAAAUAUGACCACGAGACCGAUAGCGAACAAGUACCGUGAGGGAAAGUUGAAAAGCACUUUGAAGAGAGAGUUCAAGAGUACGUGAAACCGUUUAGGGGUAAACCUGAGAAACCCGAAAGGUCGAAGGGAGAAAUUCAUUCGCGUUUCGCAGUCGGCGUGAGGCGAUCGAGUGACGGAAUGCGUCUUCGGAUGUUUUCUGCACCUUUUGUUUUUCGAUCCGAUAGCGAACGCGUGCACUUUUCUCCUGGUAGGACGUCGCGAUCCGUUGGGUGUCGGUCUACGGCUCACGGUGGAGCCCGGAUGUACGGCUUGCCGUCACGUCCGGACCCGUGUGUCCCGGCUGACUCGCUCGACGGUAUACGAAAGGUUUAAGGCCGCUCUCGCGAGCGUUCGGCUCGUCGCAAGCGCGU
This 452-nucleotide ribosomal RNA is filed under the name Liophloeus gibbus. RNAcentral's name for it is "partial large subunit ribosomal RNA". It matches the Rfam family "Eukaryotic large subunit ribosomal RNA", at positions 276 to 628 of the family's 3401-position model. The record is from RNAcentral. Lineage: Eukaryota; Metazoa; Arthropoda; Insecta; Coleoptera; Curculionidae.